GACGAACGCUGGCGGCGUGCCUAAUACAUGCAAGUCGAACGCAGUGGGGACGGGUGAGUAACACGUGGGUAACCUCCCAUCAGAGGGGAUAACACUUGGAAACAGGUGCUAAACCGAUACUGAUGGAUGGACCCGCGGUGCAUUAGCUAGUUGGUGAGGUAACGGCUCAACAAGGCCACGAUGCAUAGCAGGCCUGAGGGGGGGGUCGGCCAAAACGGGACUGGGACACGGCCCAGAAUCCUACGGGAGGCAGCAGUAGGGAAUCUUUGGCAAUGGGGGGAACCCUGACCGAGCAACGGCGCGUGAGUGAAGAAGGUUUUCGGAUCGUAAAGCUCUGUUGUUAAGGAAGCGGUACUUAACCAGAAAGGGACGGCUAACUACGUGCCAGCAGCCGCGGUAAUAC
This 403-nucleotide ribosomal RNA is filed under the name uncultured bacterium. RNAcentral's name for it is "partial 16S ribosomal RNA". It matches the Rfam family "Bacterial small subunit ribosomal RNA", at positions 28 to 526 of the family's 1533-position model. The record is from RNAcentral.